GAAGGAAGGACCUGGUUGGCUGGGAAGCUGAGGAGGGUACCUAGGAUGGAGCAGUGCUGGGGAAGGGCAGAGGGCACUGAGGAGCUCUAGCCUAGGAAAACCUCAGGCUGCAGGCAUAAUUAAAGCCCUACAAAAGGUACUGGGGCUGCAGAGGGGCAGCCCAGAGAUAGGCAGAGGCAGCUGGUCCAACCAGCUUUGCUGAUGAUAAGUGGUUUACGAACUGCAGCCUGCCUCAGGGUGUGGGGGCUAGAUGAUGACUGGCAGUAGCCACUGAGUAGCACAGUGAGAAGAAGUCUUCAUUGAACGAUCUACAAUGACAUUCAGAUCUCUUUCCUGAGGUACACUUCUCAGUGGUGUAGAUUUGGUGAGCUCCUCCUAAGGAAAUCUUCUAACUCUGAAUAAUGCCAACCAGCAAGGGGAGCUGUGGAAUAUAAUCCUUCAGCAUCCUGAGUCAAACUGAAAUGAAAACAGCAAUGCUGGAGAUGGUUUUCAAUGAGACAUUGGUUAAAUACUAAUUAUUUCUAGCUGAUGCAAAUUUAGAACCUUUUUCAACAAAACACUUAAGCAACAGUCUCUGAGAAAACAUUCAUACAACAAUCUGGUUGUUUUAUUGUCUGAAUCUGUCAGGACAGUCAUUUUGUUACUCAAACAUUGUGAUCCCCUUGCAAGCUGUAAACUGUUUAAUGAGACCUUCUGAAUCAGUAACAUCUGUUCCUGCUGAUGGAAAAUAUCCCCUUGGCUACAGAGAGAUCACAGUCACAUGCUGCUGCUGGAACGGCCUGUGUGAAUCAACAGCAAGAUAGAUUCAUCACUCUGCACCUAAUAGAUAUAACACCAAAAUGUAGCCAAGACAUUCCUGUCCAAAGUGGGAGGUAACAGCAUGUCCCCUAGUGGAGCGCUGACAAAGAUUGAGUCAAACUUGCCAAAAUGUGAACCUGCUGUUAUAGGCAGACUAAGUAUUUCAAACCUGAUGCUCAACACACAGAGCCAUUGUUUUUGACAAUUUCUUACAGAUGAUCAAUUAAUACUUGAGUAAUGCCUGACAAUAUUCAUUAAGAUUUGGUUAGAUGAAAAGAGGCAGAACAGAAAACUGGGGCUUAAUAAAAUAUAUUUUAGAAUAGAUUUAAUUUAUAUUUGGUGCAUUGGUGUUCUGCAUCAGUUCCAUGCUCGAGGUGCUUUACACUAUUUAUAAAGCAAUUUCCUUUAAAAUACCACAGCUCCCAAAGACUCCUACAGAUCAUAUAUGACAACACAAUCUUUUGUAGUAUCUUUCUAACUCCAAACAACAGCUGAGGAUCUUACUUCCAUCAUUGUACUAGUUUGCCUCUGCCAUUAUCUUUUGUGCCACCUCAUGGCAUCAUAUUCUGCAUGAUAAUGAAUAACCUAGAAUGAACAAAUGCAAUGUGUCGUGAUAGACUAUUGUUCACAUUUUGCUGCAAAAUGGAAGUUUCACAUGGAAAAGUUUAAAAAGCUCUUCAAAAACACAACUCUAUAAGUCUGAUACUGUACGGUGCUGGGCACCUCCUUGUCUUCAGUGGGAAUUGAGGAUGUGCAGCCCCUCACACUCCUGAAACUUAUGGGAGAAUAUUGUAGAAGUCAAAUAACUGACGUGUGUUAGUGAGGUACAGCUAAUAAAAAGGGGAAUUGUUUAAAUACCCAAAGUGAAGUUGGGAACUAGCUAUCAGAGACAGUUUUGACAGAGAGCCAUAAAAUGCAAAGCCAUGUACUACUUUAGCACGCAUUAAUGCAGCAGAAAGACCUUUCUAAUGAUCUAU
Long non-coding RNA from Chelonia mydas (Green sea turtle), 1775 nucleotides. RefSeq lists it as uncharacterized. The transcript has 5 exons. NCBI's taxonomy places the organism in Eukaryota, Metazoa, Chordata, Testudines, Cheloniidae. The record is from RefSeq and is a predicted model, not a curated record.